AGUGAACGCUGGCGGUAGGCCUAACACAUGCAAGUCGAACGGCAGCACAGUAAGAGCUUGCUCUUACGGGUGGCGAGUGGCGGACGGGUGAGGAAUACAUCGGAAUCUACUUUUUCGUGGGUGAUAACGUAGGGAAACUUACGCUAAUACCUCAUACGACCUACGGGUGAAAGCAGGGGAUCUUCGGACCUUGCGCGAUUGAAUGAGCCGAUGUCGGAUUAGCUAGUUGGCGGGGUAAAGGCCCACCAAGGCGACGAUCCGUAGCUGGUCUGAGAGGGUGAUCAGCCACACUGGAACUGAGACACGGUCCAGACUCCUACGGGAGGCAGCAGUGGGGAAUAUUGGACAAUGGGCGCAAGCCUGAUCCAGCCAUACCGCGUGGGUGAAGAAGGCCUUCGGGUUGUAAAGCCCUUUUGUUGGGAAAGAAAAGCAGCAGGUUAAUACCCCGCUGUUCUGACGGUACCCAAAGAAUAAGCACCGGCUAACUUCGUG
This 492-nucleotide ribosomal RNA is filed under the name uncultured bacterium. Its description in RNAcentral is "partial 16S ribosomal RNA". It matches the Rfam family "Bacterial small subunit ribosomal RNA", at positions 29 to 507 of the family's 1533-position model. The record is from RNAcentral.